Molecule: non-coding RNA, 45 nt
Filed under: Schistosoma margrebowiei
Lineage: Eukaryota; Metazoa; Platyhelminthes; Trematoda; Strigeidida; Schistosomatidae
Source: RNAcentral
AUCCAGCCGACGAGUCCCAAAUAGAACGAAACGCGUGUCCUGGAU